This 507-nucleotide ribosomal RNA is filed under the name uncultured Clostridium sp. RNAcentral's name for it is "bacterial SSU rRNA". It matches the Rfam family "Bacterial small subunit ribosomal RNA", at positions 1 to 526 of the family's 1533-position model. The record is from RNAcentral. Lineage: Bacteria; Bacillati; Bacillota; Clostridia; Eubacteriales; Clostridiaceae.
AUUAGAGUUUGAUCAUGGCUCAGGACGAACGCUGGCGGCGUGCCUAACACAUGCAAGUCGAGCGAAUGAAGUUCCUUCGGGAACGGAUUUAGCGGCGGACGGGUGAGUAACACGUGGGCAACCUGCCUCAUAGAGGGGAAUAGCCUUCCGAAAGGGAGAUCAAUACCUCAUAAUAUUGUAGCUUCGCAUGAAGCAACAAUCAAAGGAGCAAUCCACUACAAGAUGGGCCCGCGGCGCAUUAGCUAGUUGGUGAGGUAACGGCUCACCAAGGCGACGAUGCGUAGCCGACCUGAGAGGGUGAUCGGCCACAUUGGGACUGAGACACGGCCCAGACUCCUACGGGAGGCAGCAGUGGGGAAUAUUGCACAAUGGGGGAAACCCUGAUGCAGCAACGCCGCGUGAGUGAUGACGGUCUUCGGAUUGUAAAGCUCUGUCUUCAGGGACGAUAAUGACGGUACCUGAGGAGGAAGCCACGGCUAACUACGUGCCAGCAGCCGCGGUAAUAAU